This is a long non-coding RNA of Rhagoletis pomonella (apple maggot), 1851 nucleotides long. RefSeq lists it as uncharacterized. The record is from RefSeq and is a predicted model, not a curated record. NCBI's taxonomy places the organism in Eukaryota, Metazoa, Arthropoda, Insecta, Diptera, Tephritidae. The transcript is spliced from 3 exons.
UUGUGUUUUGCCUAUAGUGCCGCACUCUAAACUUUAUCGAUAAAACGCCGCGAGCCGAUUACGUGUUUACGAAUUCGGCUAAUCUCAAUGCCCCAGAGCUCCUCGGGGCUAUUUAGGAUGUGAGCGCCAAAGUACUUCAACCUUAGCGUUGCAAACGCUGGGCACCUAAGAAGGUAUUGUUGAGCACAGUAUACCAGUAGAAAAGGUUUUUGUUUUUGUAGCUGUUUCGUGGUGAAAGUCCUUUAUGGGGACCAAAUUUCCCCACAAGAAAUUGAGCGCAUGGUUGCUUUUGCGUCCCAAAAGAAUGAAUAUUAGAAAACAAUUAAAAAAAAGUCUAAGGUAAUACAAUUAUAUGCAACUAAAAAUAAUCACAAUAAUUUGCACUUAUGAGUUAAUGUGAUAAUCAUGUGUAAAAACUCUUUUCAACUAUUAUUUUUCACAAAAUAAUUUGGCGGAUCAGUUUGCUCUGAGCGCUUGUGUUGUUUACCAAGAAAAUGCAGCCCUGUUGGUUUUUAUUUCUGUAUCGCAUCGCGGUGAGUUUCUAUUUCUUGGUAAUUCGGUUUGUGAAAUGACUAUUAAUUACAAGCACUGCAUCAUCAACGGUGAUUGCAAGAACUACUGCAAUCCCUGCGGUUUUUCCUCUUGGUAAAUGCGUUCAGGUCGUGAUCAAGGGUGGUCUCCCAAAUCGGCCGGGAAUAAGGCUAUUGUUGUAGAACAAAACGCCGCAACCACUGCUGUGGUAAAUAUGUUCCAGCAGAACUGCCCACCGCCGUCGGUGUAAUGAUUUCGAUAGCUGAACAAACGCCAUCUCCUGGGCAUUCCCACAGCUUGCCGACACUAGCUAUUGUAUCACGUGUGAAUGCAACUGCGGCUUGAUUUGGUUAUUAACAGUGCAGUCGUACCAUGUCAUUGGCAAAAACACUAAGGGCUGCUGCCACAUAUAGGUUGUAAAGUUUUUGGUAUCGAUGAACAUACUCGAAGAAGACGAUGGCCGAAAACAUAUGAUGAAACAUCUUCUGGCAUGCCUUUGACAAUCGUUAAGUCAGACGAAGGCUUCACAUACGAUAUUUCACACAUGGCUGGAAUUCGUUAGCGGACAGAGCACACAUUUACAAAAUAUUUAUCGUUCAGCAGAACGUGCAUGCAUAUUCGAUUCCGAUUUUAUGGGUCAACUACGGAGGACAACCGAACUUCAGUUGGUUGGCCAGUGGCUGAAAUGGUAUUACCGAUGGCAACUAGCAACUGAAAGCUGGCAACUAAGUUGCUAUAUUGGCAAGUGCGUUUUUGUGGCUGCCGGGAAUUUUUGAUUGAGAUACUUUAUUUCUUUUUUCAACUUUUUUUUAAAUUGUACCACCUUGAACUUUAUGAAACUUAAUUAUUGCUAUUCAUGAUAAAAAACAUUUUCAUUUCAGUGGCGCUGUCCAUCGGCAACCCAACUGAGGUUCCGUCCCCAUCCAUAAUCGAUCCAUAAGUCAUAAUCGCACGAACUAAUCAAGGCUAUCAUAGAAUCCAUCGUAGUCUGAUUUUUCGUGAAAUCUACGAAAAUGCUAUUAAGUUCGAGUAGCUACGAACGCAGCGCUUGCUUUGAAUACACGCAGCAGUUCAGAUUCAGUGAUCGCUUUUUCGUAGAUUUUAAGAAAAAUUGUACUACGAUGGAUUCCGUCACCAAUAUGUUUUCUCCUUUGACAAGAUGUUUGAGAAUCGCGGCAGCACAGCCCUAUUCCUACUCUAUGCUCUUACGCGCAUAUGCUCAAUUUCUCGCACCUAGCUUAAGUGCUUGACAAAGGCAGAAGGCAUAUCUUCAACAUUAUAACUUAAAGUAAAAAAGUUUAAGGCAUGCAAUAAAAGAAU